CCUACGGGUGGCUGCAGUGAGGAAUAUUGGACAAUGGUCGGAAGACUGAUCCAGCCAUGCCGCGUGCAGGAUGAAGGUCUUAUGGAUUGUAAACUGCUUUUGCAGGGGAAGAAUAAGGACUACGCGUAGUUUGAUGACGGUACUCUGUGAAUAAGCAUCGGCUAACUCCGUGCCAGCAGCCGCGGUAAUACGGAGGAUGCGAGCGUUAUCCGGAAUCAUUGGGUUUAAAGGGUCUGUAGGCGGGCUGGUAAGUCAGAGGUGAAAGCGCUUAGCUCAACUAAGCAACUGCCUUUGAAACUGCUGGUCUUGAAUGGUUGUGAAGUAGUUGGAAUGUGUAGUGUAGCGGUGAAAUGCUUAGAUAUUACACAGAACACCGAUAGCGAAGGCAUAUUACUAACAAUUAAUUGACGCUGAUGGACGAAAGCGUGGGGAGCGAACAGGAUUAGAUACCCGGGUAGUC
RNAcentral lists this ribosomal RNA (460 nucleotides) under uncultured Capnocytophaga sp. RNAcentral's name for it is "bacterial SSU rRNA". It matches the Rfam family "Bacterial small subunit ribosomal RNA", at positions 338 to 795 of the family's 1533-position model. The record is from RNAcentral. Lineage: Bacteria; Pseudomonadati; Bacteroidota; Flavobacteriia; Flavobacteriales; Flavobacteriaceae.